Molecule: long non-coding RNA, 1065 nt
Organism: Vollenhovia emeryi
Lineage: Eukaryota; Metazoa; Arthropoda; Insecta; Hymenoptera; Formicidae
Exons: 3
Source: RefSeq, a predicted model, not a curated record
AGGUAAGAAAGUAGAAAUGUAACCUGAAACGUGCAAAUAUUUCAUCUAUGAUAUAAUGCGAAAUUUCCUGCUUUUUCAUUUUUCUAGUAUGCCGAUGCUAAGCGAUUACUAAUUUCUUGCUAAUAAAUCCGUGUAUCUGUCGAGUUGAGAUGUUAUUCUACGCAACACAGCCAGUUUUAUAACGUGCAACACGAGGAUUAUCGUUCUCACGUUGAGGAAACUCGCCUCGCAACGAGGAGGGCUCGAAUCCAGGAUCUGUUGAAGGAAAAAUGUAAUUAUUCCAUUUAAUUCUUAAUAUUAAGCUACGUUCAAUCUACACGUAAAAUUACUCGGUCAUUUACAAAGAAAUCUUUUUCCAGGGGCAAAUCCAUCGCUACCUUUUGGAUAAAUUUAGCAGACGUCUAUUUCGAAUUUGGAAAGUAUGCCGAUGCUAAGCAAUUACUUGCCGAAGCUACCAGUCUUGCAGGAAUGUAAUUUCUUGCUAACAAAUCCGUGUAUCCGUCGAGUUGACAUGUUAUUGUACGCAACACAGCCAUUUUUAUAACAUGCAACACGAGGAGGACUCGAAUCAGGAUCUGUUGAAGGAAAAAUGUAAUUAUAAUCGACGAAGCCGUUCCAUUUAAUUCUAAUAAGCUACGUUCAAUCUACACGUAAAAUUACUCGACCAUUUACAAAGAAAUCUCUUUUCCCAGGGGCAAAUCCAUCGCUACCUUUUGGAUAAGUUCAGCAGACGUCUAUUUUGAAUGUGGAAAGGUAAAAAACUAGAAAUGUAAUCUGAAACGUGCAAAUAUUUUAUCUAUGAUAUAACGUGUAUGCAAAAUUUUCUGUUUUUUCAUUUUUCUAGUAUGCCGAUGCUACGCUAUUACUUGCCGAAGCUACCAGACUUGCAAGAAUCUAAUUUCUUGCUAAUAAAUCCGUGUAUCCAUCGACUUGACAUGUUAUUAUACGCAACACAGCCAUUUUUAUAACAUGCAACACGAGGAGCUCGAAUCAGGAUCUGUCGAAGGAAAAAUGGGCAAAUCCAUUGCUACCUUUUGAAUAAAUUUGGCAGACGUCUAUUUUGAA